Molecule: long non-coding RNA, 313 nt
Organism: Amblyraja radiata (thorny skate)
Lineage: Eukaryota; Metazoa; Chordata; Chondrichthyes; Rajiformes; Rajidae
Exons: 3
Source: RefSeq, a predicted model, not a curated record
UUCAGUCUCUCUUUUGGGGCCAGCCAUGCUGUGUGUUUUGACUGUGUGUGUCCCGAGGCAAUGGAAUCCACAAAGGUCAUCCAUCUCUCUGCUGUGAUGGCCUCUGGAUUAUGAUGAUGAAUGGACAUUCCCCAGGCUGCCUCUCCUUCAAGAUACCAAUUGUUACCCUUUAGAUGAUCCCUACCCAGAUGAUGUGUGCCAGCAUGGAGACAGGUCUUCAGCCCACUGAGACCGUGUCAACCAACCAUCACCCAGACACUAGUUCUAUCCCACACAUUAGGGACAAUUUACAGCAGCUAAUUUACCUACUAAC